Molecule: ribosomal RNA, 333 nt
Filed under: uncultured bacterium
Lineage: Bacteria
Description: bacterial SSU rRNA
Rfam family: Bacterial small subunit ribosomal RNA
Source: RNAcentral
CUAGCGACUUCAGAGUUUGAUCCUGGCUCAGAUUGAACGCUGGCGGCAUGCCUUACACAUGCAAGUCGAACGGUAACGGACCUUCGGGUGCCGACGAGUGGCGAACGGGUGAGUAAUACAUCGGAACGUGCCCGAUCGUGGGGGAUAACGAGGCGAAAGCUUUGCUAAUACCGCAUACGAUCUACGGAUGAAAGCAGGGGACCGCAAGGCCUUGCGCGGACGGAGCGGCCGAUGGCAGAUUAGGUAGUUGGUGGGAUAAAAGCUUACCAAGCCGACGAUCUGUAGCUGGUCUGAGAGGAUGAUCAGCCACACUGGGACUGAGACACGGCCCAG